Molecule: ribosomal RNA, 392 nt
Filed under: uncultured bacterium
Lineage: Bacteria
Description: bacterial SSU rRNA
Rfam family: Bacterial small subunit ribosomal RNA
Source: RNAcentral
UAACGCGAAGAACCUUACCAGGUCUUGACAUACUAUGCAAAUCUAAGAGAUUAGACGUUCCCUUCGGGGACAUGGAUACAGGUGGUGCAUGGUUGUCGUCAGCUCGUGUCGUGAGAUGUUGGGUUAAGUCCCGCAACGAGCGCAACCCUUAUUAUCAGUUGCCAGCAUUAAGUUGGGCACUCUGGUGAGACUGCCGGUGACAAACCGGAGGAAGGUGGGGAUGACGUCAAAUCAUCAUGCCCCUUAUGACCUGGGCUACACACGUGCUACAAUGGAUGGUACAACGAGUUGCGAACUCGCGAGAGUAAGCUAAUCUCUUAAAGCCAUUCUCAGUUCGGAUUGUAGGCUGCAACUCGCCUACAUGAAGUCGGAAUCGCUAGUAAUCGCGGAUC